RNAcentral lists this long non-coding RNA (539 nucleotides) under Nicotiana benthamiana. RNAcentral describes it as "long non-coding RNA (NBEN_LNC020420)". The record is from RNAcentral. Lineage: Eukaryota; Viridiplantae; Streptophyta; Magnoliopsida; Solanales; Solanaceae.
UAAUGGCUUCCUUACUCAAAAUUUCAGUUUACUCUAGAAUGGCCUGAAAUCGGCAUAUAUUAGCUUGAAACAUUAGGCCCAAUUUAAAAGUCGGUAAAUGGCAUAAAACAGGAAAUACCAUCAACAAUGUACUGGUAGAUGCAACAAAAAAUAUUUGAAAUUUAUAUAUCAGCAGUCCUUUAUUUUUCCCAUGCUAAUCAAUCCAAUCACACUGUUUCAUUGGUAAUGUUUCGUCUCCACAAACUAAUGUUAUAGGCUAGAAUGGUGGAUCACAAGAUAACUUUCCCAUUACCAUUUGCGAAUUAAAAGGUUUCACCAACCAGGCAUUAGUUGUUAAAUCAGGCUUUUAGCUCAUGAUGCAUCUAAAGUGCAGUAACCUUAGAAGCACUACAAAAUAGACAAAGAUCUCAACUAAAUUGGAUCAUAAAAUGCUUUAGUUUGAUGAAUUUGAGAGCAAACAAUUGAAGAUUUUACUGGCCCGUGAAGAACUCUCAUGUUCAGAGAAUGAAGGUCGCGGAGAUGAGGAUGCUUAGGUGNNN